UGUAAUGGAGGGGGCGAGGGAGAAGCACGAAGAAGUCACCAAGUCAUUCCCCCUAUGGAAGCGGCGGGGGAAGGCGUCUUCAUCACCGGGCAGGCCUCUGCUGGAGCAGGGAAGAAGACGGGCUGGGCCCGGACAGGCCCUCCAUGUGCCCGGUGGGGGAGGUCAUCCCAGAGGACAGCUCCGGCCAUUGCUGGCCUCGUCCCUGAUGACCUCCGUGACAAGAUGGUCAGUACUUCACAAGUGAAGGUGUCCGCGAAGAAUCCGGGUUUGGUCUGUAAAAGACCUACAUGAGAGCCGGUCUCCAGACCACCGGAAAUGCUCAUGUCUGGCUGAGGUAGUAGUUUGUGUAGUUAGGGGGCAGUGGUGUUUGCCCAUGGAGAUAACUAGACAAACUACUGCCUUGCCAGAUGUGGGAAGAUUCUUCAGGACAACUUCUACAGGCUUCUGUCCUCCUUGAAGAUCUAGGCACAUUGCAGCUGAAUCGUCGGGAUUUCACUGAAGUCAUAGUAUUGUUGCCUCCACUUUUUUCUCACCAGGUGAAGUGUAAUAAAGUAAGGGCUCUUUCACACUUGCGUUGUCCGGAUCCGGCGUGUACUCCACUUGCCGGAAUUACACACAGGAUCCGGAAAAACGCAAGUGUACUGAAAGCAUUUGAAGACGGAUCCGUCUUC
Molecule: long non-coding RNA, 671 nt
Organism: Bufo gargarizans (Asiatic toad)
Lineage: Eukaryota; Metazoa; Chordata; Amphibia; Anura; Bufonidae
Exons: 3
Source: RefSeq, a predicted model, not a curated record